AGAAUUACUGUUUGGAUUCGUCUUCCGUGAAGGUGGCGUUGGCCUCUUCCUAUGUUUCAUCGAACGAAUCAUCUCCUUUAGAUGUGUUCAUCUAUUGCUAACUUUUAGGCAAGUUCUUUUACCAUUUCUGUUAGAUUUCGUACUUUAUUCCUAAGUUGCUCAAGGUCUUGGUUGUCACGUCCUUCAUCCAUGAGAGUGGCGAGGCUCUUGGUCCUUUGCUUCUUGGGCCGGCCGUCCUUAGUGUGGACAUGGAAGUUGUCCUUGUCUUGCUUCAUUCGUGCCUUGGGAAGUGUUUUUGCCCAUCACCUCCUUAGAGGCAUACUUCUUGAUUUUUCCUCGAACAAAAUGUUGUGGAUGAGAAAGUUCCACUGUUCAUAGCGGUGAAGGUUCACGAACAAGGUGUGCUAGAUAUAAGGAUGGAGUAAACAAAAACUUAUGAAGACGUCCAAUGUAAAUAGGGAGAAAAACCUUUGUUCAUCAUGGUGAUGUCUUGAGCCUUUGAUAGUAUUAAAAAAGUGAGUGACGAUGGUAAUAGAAUCUCAAACAAAUGUAGAUUUCAAGAAUACUAGAAGGUAGUGAGCAAUGAUCAUGGUGGGACCUUGGACAAGCAUAGUCGCUUAGAGUACUUCAAGAGAGUGAGCAACAAUCGUGGUGAGGCCUUCAGGAAAAAGUGGAUUCCCAAAGUGUUGUAAGGGAGUGAACAACAAUUGUGGUAGGACCUCUGACGGAUGUAGGCACCAAGAGUGCUUCAAGGGAGUGAGCAACGACCGUGAUGAAGCUUUCAGACUUAAAUUGAUGCUAAAAGUGUUACAAGGGAGUGAGCAACUACUAUGGUAGGGUCUUAGACAAGGAAUGACAUCAAGGAUGAAAGGCUCGUCCUUUUUUAGUAUUUGUUUUGUGGUGAACAUUCCACAAGACACCUUGAAAGAGGAAACAAUUGUGAGUAGGCAUAAGAGGUUGCUUUUAUGGCAUACUUCAACGAUUAAAUCAACUUAUCAAACUAGAAUAAGUAUAUCAAAUGAAAAAUAAUUUAAGUAUGAGAAUCAAAUUUGAUGUGCUUGUGUGACAAGCAUGGUGAUACCCUCGAACGAUACUUAAAGCUUAAAGUAAUGGAUUUUGUUUGUAAGGGCCUAGAACUCUAGAAAGAUAGAGAGCACUAAAGAGAGGUACUCUUAAAAUAGAGAAGAAUGUGAAAAUGAGUGAAGAUCUUAAGAACGAUAUUUGUAAAAUGAAUUAUGUAUGAGAUAUGUAGAUUCUCCUAUUUAUAUCCAGUGGCCAAGUAACUUGCUGAUUUGCACAAAGUUACCGGUCAUGUACCUCACUUAAUAGUGGGAGAGCCGUCUGCUUAAGUUCAUACACCUCGAUUAUUGUCCAAGGGUGCGAGUAAUCCCUUAUCCCUAUGAGAAGCCAAAUGGGUUUUCUGACUUCACGUGAGCUUUAUAAGCCUAAAUGUUGAGCUCAUGAAAGCCCAUUGAUGGACCUUCACGCUUGAUGGUUUCAUGGGCCUAAGAAUGGGCUAUGGAUUGAUAUCAAAAGCAACCUACAAAAUAUUCACCUCCUACGACUAUUCUAGAUAUGUUGGUAAGCACAAUAGAGACUCGGUUUCACCUUCUUCAAUGGAUGAGCCAUGUAAGUAGAGAAGCCAGUAAAUUUG
Molecule: long non-coding RNA, 1654 nt
Filed under: Gossypium barbadense (sea-island cotton)
Lineage: Eukaryota; Viridiplantae; Streptophyta; Magnoliopsida; Malvales; Malvaceae
Description: long non-coding RNA (GBAR_LNC015053)
Source: RNAcentral